UGAGUAAUCUGCCCUUGGCUUUGGGAUAGCCACCGGAAACGGUGAUUAAUACCGGAUACGACCGCUCCUCGCAUGAGGUGGUGGUGGAAAGUUUUUCGGCCAGGGAUGUGCUCGCGGCCUAUCAGCUUGAUGGUGAGGUAAUGGCUCACCAUGGCUUCGACGGGUAGCCGGCCUGAGAGGGUGUCCGGCCACACUGGGACUGAGAUACGGCCCAGACUCCUACGGGAG
Molecule: ribosomal RNA, 228 nt
Filed under: uncultured bacterium
Lineage: Bacteria
Description: partial 16S ribosomal RNA
Rfam family: Bacterial small subunit ribosomal RNA
Source: RNAcentral